CAACGUUAAUGUGCUCUUUCGAAUGGCAAUAAUUUUUUUUUGAAAGUGGUCUCUUUUGGUACAUUUUCAGAAAAGUCACUUUUUUGCUACCCUUGGUGAACUUUGGCUACUCCCAUACCUUGCCGGUUGAUGUAUUUCAACACAACAUGCCUUGUAACAGUUAGCCUGAAGUCUAAGCUUUCCAAUGAUACCAAAUAUACCAUGUAUGAUUCUCAGCAAGAACUAUUUAUGAUAAAGAUUUUGCAUCGAGGUCGGGCUACUAGCAAAUUUAGGGCCAUGGGAAACUUUAAAC
This is a long non-coding RNA of Bradysia coprophila, 292 nucleotides long. NCBI's taxonomy places the organism in Eukaryota, Metazoa, Arthropoda, Insecta, Diptera, Sciaridae. The record is from RefSeq and is a predicted model, not a curated record.